UGGGGGGAGCAAGCGUUGUUCGGAUUUACUGGGCGUAAAGGGCGCGUAGGCGGCCACCGCAAGUCGACUGUGAAAUCUCUGGGCUUAACCCAGAAAGGUCAGCCGAUACUGCGGGGCUAGAGUGCAGAAGGGGCAACUGGAAUUCUCGGUGUAGCGGUGAAAUGCGUAGAUAUCGAGAGGAACACCUGCGGCGAAGGCGGGUUGCUGGGCUGACACUGACGCUGAAGCGCGAAAGCUAGGGGAGCGAACGGGAUUAGAUACCCCGGUAGUCCUAGCCUUAAACGAUGAAUGCUUGGUGUCUGGGGUUUUAUAGUCCCCGGGUGCCGUCGCUAACGCUUUAAGCAUUCCGCCUGGGGAGUACGGUCGCAAGACUG
Molecule: ribosomal RNA, 374 nt
Filed under: uncultured organism
Description: bacterial SSU rRNA
Rfam family: Bacterial small subunit ribosomal RNA
Source: RNAcentral